GAUGAACGCUGGCGGCGUGCCUAAUACAUGCAAGUCGAACGAAACUUCUUUAUCACCGAGUGCUUGCACUCACCGAUAAAGAGUUGAGUGGCGAACGGGUGAGUAACACGUGGGCAACCUGCCCAAAAGAGGGGGAUAACACUUGGAAACAGGUGCUAAUACCGCAUAACCAUAGUUACCGCAUGGUAACUAUGUAAAAGGUGGCUAUACUACCGCUUUUGGAUGGGCCCGCGGCGCAUUAGCUAGUUGGUAGGGUAAAGGCUUACCAAGGCAAUGAUGCGUAGCCGAAUUGAGAGGUUGAUCGGCCACAUUGGGACUGAGACACGGCCCAAACUCCUACGGGAGGCAGCAGUAGGGAAUCUUCCACAAGGGGCGAAAGCCUGAUGGAGCAACGCCGCGUGGGUGAAGAAGGUCGUCGGAUCGUAAAACCCUGUUGUUAGAGAAGAAAGUGCGUGAGAGUAACUGGUCACGUUUCGACGGUAGCUAACCAGAAAGCCACUGCUAACUACGUGC
RNAcentral lists this ribosomal RNA (513 nucleotides) under uncultured bacterium. Its description in RNAcentral is "partial 16S ribosomal RNA". It matches the Rfam family "Bacterial small subunit ribosomal RNA", at positions 28 to 508 of the family's 1533-position model. The record is from RNAcentral.